This is a non-coding RNA of Paramuricea clavata, 438 nucleotides long. The record is from the annotation of a GenBank genome assembly. Lineage: Eukaryota; Metazoa; Cnidaria; Anthozoa; Malacalcyonacea; Plexauridae.
CACAGAAUAUUGGUGACAUGCAUGGUGAUGGUGAUCAGCAUUGCGAGUAUGUAGCCAUUUUGCGGAAGUGCUUUGCAUUUUGGUUGGAAACGUUGGAUAUUGGUUUCUUUUUAUGAUGACUGGCAUGUUGAAAUGUUUUAGCUGUUGUUAUUGAUAAAAAAAUGAAAUAUGACUGACAGAAGUUCACUUCGCUCAGCUGCGUUUUGCGUUGGAGUUUUCACUGCAGUGGUGGUGACAUUACAAGUUUACUACCUGCUUGUGGAUGAAGAAAAUGCUGUUCAGUUCUCUGAUCAUACGACAAGUAGAGAUGGUUCAGAUAACAUGAAUCAUGAUGAUACACUGGCAAGAAAGUAUGCUUACUCCAGUAUGGAGGACAUACUUGAAAAUGGUGAAAAUUUUAUUAAUGGUUGGUAAUUAAUUGCUGAAUCAUAGCUAGAC